Molecule: ribosomal RNA, 468 nt
Filed under: uncultured bacterium
Lineage: Bacteria
Description: partial 16S ribosomal RNA
Rfam family: Bacterial small subunit ribosomal RNA
Source: RNAcentral
GACGAACGCUGGCGGCGUGCUUAACACAUGCAAGUCGAACGGAAAGGCCCUGCUUUUGUGGGGUGCUCGAGUGGCGAACGGGUGAGUAACACGUGAGUAACCUGCCCUUGACUUUGGGAUAACUUCAGGAAACUGGGGCUAAUACCGGAUAGGAGCCCCUGCUGCAUGGUGGGGGUUGGAAAGUUUCGGCGGUUGGGGAUGGACUCGCGGCUUAUCAGCUUGUUGGUGGGGUAGUGGCUUACCAAGGCUUUGACGGGUAGCCGGCCUGAGAGGGUGACCGGCCACAUUGGGACUGAGAUACGGCGCAGAAGCCUACGGGAGGCAGCAGUGGGGAAUAUGGCACAAUGGGCGGAAGCCAGAUGCAGCAACGCCGCGUGCGGGAUGACGGCCUUCGGGUUGUAAACCGAUUUCGCCUGUGACGAAGCGUGAGUGACGGUAAUGGGUAAAGAAGCACCGGCUAACUACGUG